Hibiscus syriacus is the source of this 409-nucleotide long non-coding RNA. RefSeq lists it as uncharacterized. The record is from RefSeq and is a predicted model, not a curated record. The transcript is spliced from 4 exons. NCBI's taxonomy places the organism in Eukaryota, Viridiplantae, Streptophyta, Magnoliopsida, Malvales, Malvaceae.
CUCUUGCUACUGCAUCAAACAUUGAAUUGGAGCUGCAGAUAACUCCGUGGAAUCUAAGUGGCAAUUUUGUUGCAUGUACAACCCAGAAAUCCAAAGGUGAGGAGACUGGCGAGCACACUCUACCAAUGCUCAUGGUAGAGAAAGAAGAACUAGAAUCACCCCUCCACAAUGAGAAAUUGUUGUCUGUCCAGUUAAAGAAAAAACUAGCAUAUGUAGCAGAGGCUUAAAACACAGACCUGCACAAGGAGCUCCAAUCCGUACGCCCUCAACUUGUCUUUGAGCAGUGAAGAUGUUUGGUAUACUUGAAACAAGAGAACAAUGGUAUGUUGGAGAUUCUGAUGGCAACAUCAAGGGUUUUAAGAUUGAACAAGAAGUACGUCAUGUUAUACCAAUGAAAUACACUAUACCU